RNAcentral lists this ribosomal RNA (468 nucleotides) under uncultured bacterium. RNAcentral's name for it is "partial 16S ribosomal RNA". It matches the Rfam family "Bacterial small subunit ribosomal RNA", at positions 28 to 507 of the family's 1533-position model. The record is from RNAcentral.
GACGAACGCUGGCGGCGUGCUUAACACAUGCAAGUCGAACGGAAAGGCCCUGCUUUUGUGGGGUGCUCGAGUGGCGAACGGGUGAGUAACACGUGAGUAACCUGCCCUUGACUUUGGGAUAACUUCAGGAAACUGGGGCUAAUACCGGAUAGGAGCUCCUGCUGCAUGGUGGGGGUUGGAAAGUUUCGGCGGUUGGGGAUGGACUCGCGGCUUAUCAGCUUGUUGGUGGGGUAGUGGCUUACCAAGGCUUUGACGGGUAGCCGGCCUGAGAGGGUGACCGGCCAAAUUGGGAAUGAGAGACGGCACAGACUACGACGGGAGGCAGCAGUGGGGAAGAGUGAACAAGGGGCGGAAGCCUGAUGCAGCAACGCCGCGUGCGGGAUGACGGCCGUCGGGUGGUAAAAAGCUUGCGCCUGUGACGAAGCGGGAGUGAAGGUAAUGGGUAAAGAAGCACCGGCUAACUAAGUG